GUAUAAGAGACAGCAGUCGCCGCGGGAAUACGAAAGGGGCUAGCGUUGCUCGGAAUGACUGGGCGUAAAGGGCGCGUAGGCGGUUUUGACAGUCAGAUGUGAAAUUCCUGGGCUUAACCUGGGGGCUGCAUUUGAGACGUCAAGACUAGAGUGUGAGAGAGGGUUGUGGAAUUCCGAGUGUAGAGGUGAAAUUCGUAGAUAUUCGGAAGAACACCAGUGGCGAAGGCGGCUUACUGGCUCAUACUGGACGCUGAGGUGCGAAAGCGUGGGGAGCAAACAGGAUUAGAUACCCGCGUAGUCCCUGUCUCUUAUAC
Molecule: ribosomal RNA, 314 nt
Filed under: uncultured bacterium
Lineage: Bacteria
Description: partial 16S ribosomal RNA
Rfam family: Bacterial small subunit ribosomal RNA
Source: RNAcentral